Molecule: long non-coding RNA, 607 nt
Organism: Lynx canadensis (Canada lynx)
Lineage: Eukaryota; Metazoa; Chordata; Mammalia; Carnivora; Felidae
Exons: 3
Source: RefSeq, a predicted model, not a curated record
GCGCCGGACUGGCGGGAGCGCGGGUCGCCGGGCUCGGGGAGGGGACCGCGGCCCCUCGUCCCGCAGGGCAGCCGGGAGGAUGCCCGCCCGUGCUGCACCUACGGUCGGAACAUUCCCCUAAAAAGUGGAGGUCCCGUUCAGGUCCCCCCCCCUAACAACCCGCGGCAGGUCCGGGCCCAGCUGACCUCUGCUCCAGAAUCCGCAAGGCCCGCGGCGCCUCCGUUUCAACGGAGAAAAAGAGCUCCAGGAACGAUGAGAACGAAUAAAAAGAGAGGAGAGGAAACUGAGGCAUGGAGAUAGGUGAGCACACCCCGUCCCUUGCCUGGCCACUGCAAGUCUCUGCAAGAGAAGCCCCUAAAAGCCAGCCCAGCCCUGGACCGUGGCUCAGACACCACUGAGGACACAGCAAGAAUACCGCUGUCCCCAAGCCAGGAAGAGGGUCCUCCACCGGGAACCAAAUCUCGGGCAUUCUGAACUUGGACUUCCCAGGUUCCAAAACCGUGAGAAGUCACUUUCUGUUGCUUAUGCCACCCAGUCUGGUGUUUUGUGAUGGCAUCAGGAACAGCCUUUUCCUCCUCAACUAACCACAGAAUUUUUUUAAUUUUUA